This 488-nucleotide ribosomal RNA is filed under the name uncultured bacterium. Its description in RNAcentral is "partial 16S ribosomal RNA". It matches the Rfam family "Bacterial small subunit ribosomal RNA", at positions 355 to 859 of the family's 1533-position model. The record is from RNAcentral.
UGGGGAAUAUUGCACAAUGGGCGAAAGCCUGAUGCAGCAACGCCGCGUGGGUGAUGAAGGUCUUCGGAUUGUAAAGCUCUGUCUUUUGGGACGAUAAUGACGGUACCAAAGGAGGAAGCCACGGCUAACUACGUGCCAGCAGCCGCGGUAAUACGUAGGUGGCGAGCGUUGUCCGGAUUUACUGGGCGUAAAGGGUGCGUAGGCGGAUGUUUAAGUGAGAUGUGAAAUACCCGGGCUUAACUUGGGUGCUGCAUUUCAAACUGGAUAUCUAGAGUGCAGGAGAGGAGAAUGGAAUUCCUAGUGUAGCGGUGAAAUGCGUAGAGAUUAGGAAGAACACCAGUGGCGAAGGCGAUUCUCUGGACUGUAACUGACGCUGAGGCACGAAAGCGUGGGUAGCAAACAGGAUUAGAUACCCUGGUAGUCCACGCCGUAAACGAUGAGUACUAGGUGUAGGAGGUAUCGACCCCUUCUGUGCCGCAGUAAACACA